UACGUAGGCAGCAAGCGUUGUUCGGAAUUACUGGGCGUAAAGAGUGUGUAGGCGGUGUUCUAAGUCUGUCGUGAAAUCUCCCGGCUUAACUGGGAGGGUGCGGCGGAAACUGGAGUGCUAGAGGGUGGGAGAGGAAAGCGGAAUUCCUGGUGUAGCGGUGAAAUGCGUAGAUAUCAGGAGGAACACCUGCGGUGUAGACAGCUUUCUGGACCACUUCUGACGCUGAGACACGAAAGCGUGGGUAGCAAACAGG
Molecule: ribosomal RNA, 253 nt
Filed under: uncultured bacterium
Lineage: Bacteria
Description: partial 16S ribosomal RNA
Rfam family: Bacterial small subunit ribosomal RNA
Source: RNAcentral